UUGACAUCCAGAGAAUUUAGCAGAGAUGCUUUAGUGCCUUCGGGAACUCUGAGACAGGUGCUGCAUGGCUGUCGUCAGCUCGUGUUGUGAAAUGUUGGGUUAACGUCCGCAACGAGCGCAACCCUUAUCCUUUGUUGCCAGCACGUAAUGGUGGGAACUCAAAGGAGACUGCCGGUGAUAAACCGGAGGAAGGUGGGGAUGACGUCAAGUCAUCAUGGCCCUUACGAGUAGGGCUACACACGUGCUACAAUGGCGCAUACAAAGAGAAGCGACCUCGCGAGAGCAAGCGGACCCCAUAAAGUGCGUCGUAGUCCGGAUUGGAGUCUGCAACUCGACUCCAUGAAGUCGGAAUCGCUAGUAAUCGUAAAUCAGAAUGUUACGGUGAAUACGUUCCCGGGCCUUGUACACACCGCCCGUCACACCAUGGGAGUGGGUUGCAAAAGAAGUAGAUAGCUUAACCUUCGGGAGGGCGUUUACCACUUUGUGAUUCAUGACUGGGGUGAAGUCGUAACAAGGUAAGCGUAGUGCU
Molecule: ribosomal RNA, 529 nt
Filed under: uncultured bacterium
Lineage: Bacteria
Description: bacterial SSU rRNA
Rfam family: Bacterial small subunit ribosomal RNA
Source: RNAcentral